Molecule: long non-coding RNA, 420 nt
Filed under: Vombatus ursinus (common wombat)
Lineage: Eukaryota; Metazoa; Chordata; Mammalia; Diprotodontia; Vombatidae
Description: lncRNA (ENSVURG00010020399.1)
Source: RNAcentral
CCGAAUUCGGCACUUGCGCAGUAAGCUGCGAGCAAACGGAAGUCCAGAAGCUGCUACCCUCUCCCUCUGGAGCGACCGGGGCGCGUUUGUUCGCUCGUUCUCUCUCGGUUUCUGUUGCCUUCUCACUCCCUCUCUUCCCCCUUCCUUCCCUCCCUCUGUCCUCUCUUCUCCUGUCCCUCCCACGGUCGGCCAGGCCCUUCAAGCAGUCGGCGGCGGUGUGCCCUCAUCUUCUCGUUGUUGGGGUGCAGUCCAUCCUUUAGGAUCCCUGUUGAGUGUCUGUCUGAAAAGCUGGGUCCCAUUUUAUCUGUCAGAUAAGAGCAUCCCGAAGUUAGUCUUAUAUGUGGACAACUUGUUAAGAGAUACAGUGAAGAGGGUGAGGAAGCCAGCCAGUCUGUUUGGAAGAUACCUUGGACAGAACAA